CCAUAGAAAUCAGUUUACAGCCAGAGCUCGUCUGGUGUAGAUUAAUAUAUUUGGCAGCAACAAUAUCCCAAAAUUCAAAAUUAUUGUGUAAACCGGAUUUCAGGUGUUAAAUUUAUAUACACUAAUACUUUAAUAAUGGCAAUAUUAAAGUAGAUAGUUAUAUAUAUCUUGGAAUUUUCCGGUACUUUUUAGGCGUGCUCCUAAGUUAACGCGCACAUCUUGGUCAAACGAUCCCAUCCCCCUUAUUAAACCAGUAUCCCCUCUGGGAAAUGCGUACACACGUUUUAAUUCUGCAAAUACUCGAAGUAUGUUUUCCAUUUUGUUAAGUUGCUUGAAAUAAGCAAUAAAUCAUGUUUGCAUACUCAGAUAUUUAUAUUUAUUCAUUUUGUUUACUUAGCCAAUUUUAGCCGUAUACAAAAUCAUCGGCUUUUGCACUUACACACUGGCAGGUUGGUUUUUCUGUUUCGUUUAAAAGCAAGUCAUUGAACUACCCAUAUGGUGACCAAAAAUAUUGAAAAAGGAUCUACCGAGCGACUAAGGCUCAGUCGCGGAAGAAGAAAAAGAAGAAGACUUAUUAAAUGAAUCAAGAGAAUCGGCAUAUUUAUACAUCCUUGAGACGAACAUCGACGGUACCACUGCCUAUUGCCAGGGCGGCGAGUUUGCGUCCAUUGUUUCCAAUCUUAUAUUAUUUUUUCAAGUUUGAUUCUGAUUAUUAUGUUAAGCCAUAGAAAAUAAAAUAGCGCAAUUUCAAAGGAA
Drosophila willistoni is the source of this 756-nucleotide long non-coding RNA. RefSeq lists it as uncharacterized. The record is from RefSeq and is a predicted model, not a curated record. NCBI's taxonomy places the organism in Eukaryota, Metazoa, Arthropoda, Insecta, Diptera, Drosophilidae. The transcript is spliced from 7 exons.